RNAcentral lists this transfer RNA (72 nucleotides) under Chlorocebus sabaeus (green monkey). RNAcentral describes it as "tRNA-Asp (GTC) (tRNA-Asp-GTC-3-1)". It matches the Rfam family "tRNA". Rfam says of the family: Transfer RNA (tRNA) molecules are approximately 80 nucleotides in length. Lineage: Eukaryota; Metazoa; Chordata; Mammalia; Primates; Cercopithecidae. The record is from Rfam by way of RNAcentral.
UCCUCGUUAGUAUAGUGGUGAGUAUCCCCGCCUGUCACGCAGGAGACCGGGGUUCGAUUCCCCGACGGGGAA